AACGUACUCAGUUCGGAUUGUAGUCUGCAACUCGACUACAUGAAGCUGGAAUCGCUAGUAAUCGCAGAUCAGAAUGCUGCGGUGAAUACGUUCCCGGGUCUUGUACACACCGCCCGUCACACCAUGGGAGUCGGAAAUGCCCGAAGCCGGUGACCCAACCAAAAGGAGGGAGCCGUCGAAGGCAGGUCUGAUAACUGGGGUGAAGUCGUAACAAGGUAGC
Molecule: ribosomal RNA, 220 nt
Filed under: uncultured bacterium
Lineage: Bacteria
Description: partial 16S ribosomal RNA
Rfam family: Bacterial small subunit ribosomal RNA
Source: RNAcentral